GUUCUACACUCUACUUAAUAAUUGAUGUCGUCUUCCAAAUACAGUCAGCUGUAAGCCAAGCAUGGUUUAAUACUGAAACUAUUACAGAGGCUGAACUAUUGGCCUGGACUGCCUGGAACCAUGAAGGAAACCUAGAAACCUGUUUACACUUCUUCACAUUUAUCCAACAAAUCAUCAGUCCUCUUCUCUUCGUAUACGCCGAGUUCUGCGUGAAAUAAUACAUGCUUCUUAUAAACUUAGUUCUGCGUGAAAUAAUACAUGCUUUUUUUUAUAAACUUGUUCAGCGUGAAUAAAUUAGUAAUAUGAUUUUUUAAAAUAAAUCAGCAACUAAU
This is a long non-coding RNA of Eurytemora carolleeae, 332 nucleotides long. RefSeq lists it as uncharacterized. The record is from RefSeq and is a predicted model, not a curated record. The transcript has 2 exons. Lineage: Eukaryota; Metazoa; Arthropoda; Copepoda; Calanoida; Temoridae.